Molecule: ribosomal RNA, 320 nt
Filed under: uncultured bacterium
Lineage: Bacteria
Description: bacterial SSU rRNA
Rfam family: Bacterial small subunit ribosomal RNA
Source: RNAcentral
AUUGAACGCUGGCGGAAUGCUUUACACAUGCAAGGUCGAACGGUAGAGGGGGCAACCCCUUGAGAGUGGCGAACGGGUGAGUAAUAUAUCGGAACGUGCCCAGUCGUGGGGAUAACGUAGCGAAAGUUACGCUAAUACCGCAUACGAUCUAAGGAUGAAAGCGGGGGAUCGCAAGACCUCGCGCGAUUGGAGCGGCCGAUAUCAGAUUAGGUAGUUGGUGAGGUAAAGGCUCACCAAGCCAACGAUCUGUAGCUGGUCUGAGAGGACGACCAGCCACACUGGGACUGAGACACGGCCCAGGACUCCUACGGGAGGCAGCA